UCCCGUUUGACACGGGCAGUCCCUUUAGAGUGCCCAACUUAAUGAUGGCAACUAAAGGCAAGGGUUGCGCUCGUUGCGGGACUUAACCCAACAUCUCACGACACGAGCUGACGACAGCCGUGCAGCACCUGAACCAGAGGUCCCCGAAGGGAAGGCCCUAUUUCUAGGGAUGUCCUCUUUUGUCUAGCCCGGGUAAGGUUCUUCGCGUUGCUUCGAAUUAAACCACAUGCUCCACCGCUUGUGCGGGCCCCCGUCAAUUCAUUUGAGUUUCAACCUUGCGGCCGUACCCCCCAGGCGGAGGACUUAGCGCGUUAGCUACGACACUGAAAGGCUUACCCCUCCAACGUCUAGUCCUCAUCGUUUAUGGCGUGGACUAC
This 377-nucleotide unclassified non-coding RNA is filed under the name uncultured Pseudomonadota bacterium. RNAcentral describes it as "uncultured proteobacterium contains 16S-23S intergenic spacer region". Lineage: Bacteria; Pseudomonadati; Pseudomonadota. The record is from RNAcentral.